UACAGAGGUCCCAAGCGUUGUUCGGAUUCACUGGGCGUAAAGGGUGCGUAGGUGGCAGGAUAAGUUUGAUGUGAAAUCUCCGGGCUUAACCCGGAAACUGCAUUGAAUACUAUUUUGCUCGAGGGUUGGAGGGGGGACUGGAAUUCUCGGUGUAGCAGUGAAAUGCGUAGAUAUCGAGGGGAACACCAGUGGCGAAGGCGAGUCCCUGGACAACUCCUGACACUGAGGCACGAAAGCUAGGGGAGCAAACAGG
RNAcentral lists this ribosomal RNA (253 nucleotides) under uncultured prokaryote. Its description in RNAcentral is "partial 16S ribosomal RNA". It matches the Rfam family "Bacterial small subunit ribosomal RNA", at positions 524 to 776 of the family's 1533-position model. The record is from RNAcentral.